UACGAAGGGAGCUAGCGUUGUUCGGAAUCACUGGGCGUAAAGCGCACGUAGGCGGAUUUGUCAGUCAGGGGUGAAAUCCCGGGGCUCAACCUCGGAACUGCCUUUGAUACAGCAAGUCUUGAGUUCGAGAGAGGUGGGUGGAAUUCCUAGUGUAGAGGUGAAAUUCGUAGAUAUUAGGAAGAACACCGGUGGCGAAGGCGGCCCACUGGCUCGAGACUGACGCUGAGGUGCGAAAGCGUGGGGAGCAAACAGG
RNAcentral lists this ribosomal RNA (253 nucleotides) under uncultured bacterium. Its description in RNAcentral is "partial 16S ribosomal RNA". It matches the Rfam family "Bacterial small subunit ribosomal RNA", at positions 524 to 776 of the family's 1533-position model. The record is from RNAcentral.